Molecule: non-coding RNA, 153 nt
Filed under: Gossypium arboreum
Lineage: Eukaryota; Viridiplantae; Streptophyta; Magnoliopsida; Malvales; Malvaceae
Description: Eukaryotic large subunit ribosomal RNA
Rfam family: Eukaryotic large subunit ribosomal RNA
Source: Rfam by way of RNAcentral
GCGUCGCAAUAGUAAUUCAACCUAGUACGAGAGGAACUGUUGAUUCGCACAAUUGGUCAUCGCGCUUGGUUUAAAAAACCAGUGGCGCGAAGUUACCGUGCGCUGGAUUAUGACUGAACGCCUUUAAGUCAGAAUCCAGGCUAGAAGCGACGC